AGAGUUUGAUCCUGGCUCAGAAUCAACGCUGGCGGCGCGCUUAACACAUGCAAGUCGCACGAGAAAGCAGGAGCAAUCUUGUGAGUACAGUGGCGUACGGGUGAGCAACACGUGGAUCAUCUACCUCUUGGUGGGGAAUACUCCUGGGAAACCGGGAAUAAUACCGCAUAAGCUCGUGAGAGGAAAGCCGAAAGGCGCCGAGAGAGGAGUCCGCGGCUGAUUAGCUAGAUGGCGGGGUAACGGCCCACCAUGGCGAAGAUCGGUAGCCGGCCUGAGAGGGCACACGGCCACACUGGCACUGAAACACGGGCCAGACUCCUACGGGAGGCAGCAGUGGGGAAUCUUGCACAAUGGGGGAAACCCUGAUGCAGCGACGCCGCGUGAGCGAUGAAGCCCUUCGGGGUGUAAAGCUCUUUCGACGGGAACGAUAAUGACGGUACCCGAAGAAGAAGCUGCGGCUAACUACGUGCCAGCAGCCGCGGUAAUACGUAGGCAGCGAGCGUUGUUCGGAAUUACUGGGCGUAAAGAGUGUGUAGGCGGUGCUCUAAGUCUGGUGUGAAAUCUCCCGGCUCAACUGGGAGGGUGCGCUAGAAACUGGAGUGCUCGAGUAUGGGAGAGGAAAGCGGAAUUCCUGGUGUAGCGGUGAAAUGCGUAGAUAUCAGGAGGAACACCUGCGGUGUAGACAGCUUUCUGGACCAUGACUGACGCUGAGACACGAAAGCGUGGGUAGCAAACAGGAUUAGAUACCCUAGUAGUCC
Molecule: ribosomal RNA, 758 nt
Filed under: uncultured bacterium
Lineage: Bacteria
Description: bacterial SSU rRNA
Rfam family: Bacterial small subunit ribosomal RNA
Source: RNAcentral